CAGGGAGUAGUUUAAAUUAGAAUGUCGGCUUUGGGAGUUGAAGGUGAAGUUAUAACUUCUUCCCUGA
Molecule: transfer RNA, 67 nt
Filed under: Sciurus anomalus (Caucasian squirrel)
Lineage: Eukaryota; Metazoa; Chordata; Mammalia; Rodentia; Sciuridae
Description: tRNA-Pro
Rfam family: tRNA
About the family: Transfer RNA (tRNA) molecules are approximately 80 nucleotides in length.
Source: RNAcentral